Molecule: ribosomal RNA, 326 nt
Filed under: uncultured eukaryote
Lineage: Eukaryota
Description: partial 18S ribosomal RNA
Rfam family: Eukaryotic small subunit ribosomal RNA
Source: RNAcentral
CCCUUAGAUGUUCUGGGCCGCACGCGCGCUACACUGACGAAUGCAACGAGCUUAUAACCUUGGCCGAAAGGUCUGGGUAAUCUCCAAAUUUCGUCGUGAUGGGGAUAGAUUAUUGCAAUUAUUAAUCUUCAACGAGGAAUGCCUAGUAGGCGCAAGUCAUCAGCUUGCGUCGAUUACGUCCCUGCCCUUUGUACACACCGCCCGUCGCUCCUACCGAUUGGGUGUGCUGGUGAAAUGUUCGGAUCGGCCGUUUGUCGCGGUUUCCGCGGCUCGUGGCUGAGAAGUUCAUUAAACCCUCCCACCUAGAGGAAGGAGAAGUCGUAACA